AGUCGAACGGUAACAUGAGAGCUUGCUCUUGAUGACGAGUGGCGCACGGGUGCGUAACGCGUAUGCAACCUACCCUAUACAGGGGGAUAGCCCGGAGAAAUUCGGAUUAAUACCCCAUAAUAUUUUUGUAACACAUGUUAUAAUAAUUAAAGCUUCGGCGGUAUAGGAUGGGCAUGCGUCCCAUUAGUUAGUUGGUGAGGUAACGGCUCACCAAGACUUCGAUGGGUAGGGGUUCUGAGAGGAUUAUCCCCCACACUGGUACUGAGACACGGACCAGACUCCUACGGGAGGCAGCAGUGAGGAAUAUUGGGCAAUGGACGAGAGUCUGACCCAGCCAUGCCGCGUGCAGGAUGACGGCCCUAUGGGUUGUAAACUGCUUUUAUACAGGAAUAAACCUAUCUACGUGUAGAUAGCUGAAUGUACUGUACGAAUAAGGAUCGGCUAACUCCGUGCCAGCAGCCGCGGUAAUACGGAGGAUCCAAGCGUUAUCCGGAUUCAUUGGGUUUAAAGGGUCCGUAGGCGGAUUUUCAAGUCAGUGGUGAAAGCCCACAGCUCAACUGUGGAACUGCCAUUGAUACUGGAAGUCUUGAGUUUGGUUGAAGUUGGCGGAAUACGUCAUGUAGCGGUGAAAUGCAUAGAUAUGACGUAGAACACCGAUUGCGAAGGCAGCUGACUAAGUCAAUACUGACGCUGAGGGACGAAAGCGUGGGGAGCGAACAGGAUUAGAUACCCUGGUAGAA
Molecule: ribosomal RNA, 740 nt
Filed under: uncultured Flavobacteriia bacterium
Lineage: Bacteria; Pseudomonadati; Bacteroidota; Flavobacteriia
Description: bacterial SSU rRNA
Rfam family: Bacterial small subunit ribosomal RNA
Source: RNAcentral